GGUUCCAAGUUACUGUGAAUCAAAAGAGAAGCUCACAUGAAAUUCAGAAGGCUGAAGUGAAGCAGAGAUAUUUUGGAAGAUUGGGAGAGACAAAGACAGUGAUGGACAGACACAAAGUUAUGUGUUUGUUCUGAACACA
Molecule: long non-coding RNA, 139 nt
Organism: Neogale vison (American mink)
Lineage: Eukaryota; Metazoa; Chordata; Mammalia; Carnivora; Mustelidae
Exons: 3
Source: RefSeq, a predicted model, not a curated record